GUACGGGAGGCAGCAGUGGGGAAUCUUGCACAAUGGGGGCAACCCUGAUGCAGCGACGCCGCGUGAGCGAUGAAGUCCUUCGGGGCGUAAAGCUCUUUCGGCAGGGAAGAUAAUGACGGUACCUGCAGAAGCAGCUGCGGCUAACUACGUGCCAGCAGCCGCGGUAAUACGUAGGCAGCGAGCGUUGUUCGGAGUUACUGGGCGUAAAGGGUGUGUAGGCGGUUGUUUAAGUUUGGUGUGAAAUCUCCCGGCUCAACCGGGAGGGUGCGCCGAAUACUGAAUGACUCGAGUGCGGGAGAGGAGAGUGGAAUUCCUGGUGUAGCGGUGAAAUGCGUAGAGAUCAGGAGGAACACCGGUGGUGUAGACGGCUCUCUGGACCGUAACUGACGCUGAGACACGAAAGCGUGGGUAGCAAACAGGAUUAGAUACCCCGGUAGU
This 438-nucleotide ribosomal RNA is filed under the name uncultured bacterium. RNAcentral describes it as "bacterial SSU rRNA". It matches the Rfam family "Bacterial small subunit ribosomal RNA", at positions 339 to 794 of the family's 1533-position model. The record is from RNAcentral.